Molecule: long non-coding RNA, 1971 nt
Filed under: Salmo salar (Atlantic salmon)
Lineage: Eukaryota; Metazoa; Chordata; Actinopteri; Salmoniformes; Salmonidae
Description: lncRNA (ENSSSAG00000108444.1)
Source: RNAcentral
UUCCACUGUCAGAAAUGAAGCACCGGGGAGCGCACAACACAAAAGUUAAAUGAAGGUUAAAUGGAAGCACUUCAAAGUGGGAGAUCCUCCACAGAAAAAUAACAAAAAAGGUUAAUGUGUGUUUUGUUGAGACAGCCCAGCAGCUUGUAGCUUUUGGGUAUGGCAAGUCUGAGGUCCAGUUUGGGCCGACUGCCUCAGGGCCUGGCAGUACAGGUUUCAUUUACCCAGUAACAACGACGACUAGCACACAAAUAGGGUUUUCUACAAAUGGCUUGAAACAGCAGUUUUCACCCAAUCCCCACUUGGUUGAUGCCGCAACUACUUCAAUGCCUCAAAACCUGGGAUGAAAACUCAGCAGCAUGGCGGGAUGGUCAUACAGCCUGUUAUACAUUACGUGUCCAACAUCCCCUUCUGCUGCUGGUGAUAACGAAGUGUCAUUAUCAGGUGGGGAAAGAGGAGAGGAUGAUACUGGUGUACGGGUAUUAGGUAGAUGUACUGGUGUAGGGGUAAUAGGUAGACGUAGUGGUGUAGGUGUAUUAGGUAGAUAUAGGGAUGUAGGGGUAUUAGGUAGAUGUAGUGGUGUAGGGGUAUUAGGAAGAUGAAGGGGUAUAGAGGAAAUAAGUAGAUGUAGUGGUGUAGGGGUAUUAGGAAGAUGAAGGGGUAUAGAGGAAAUAAGUAGAUGUAGUGGUGUAGGGGUAUUAGGAAGAUGAAGGGGUAUAGAGGAAUUAAGUAGAUGUAGUGGUGUAGGGGUAUUAGGAAGAUGAAGGGGUAUAGAGGAAUUAAGUAGAUGUAGUGGUGUAGGGGUAUUAGGUAGAGGUAGUUGUGUUUGUGGUAUUAGGUAGAUGUAGAGGUAUUAUGUAGAUGUAGUGGUAUUAUGUAGAUGUAGUGGUGUAGGGGUAUUAGGUAGACGUAGUGGUGUAGGGGUAUUAUGUAGAUGUAUUUGUGUAGGGGUAUUAGGUAGAUGUAGGGGUAUUAGGUAGAUGUAGAGGUAUUAGGUAGAUGUAGGGGUAUUAGGUAGAUGUAGUUGUGUUUGUGGUAUUAGGUAGAUGUAGUGGUAUUAUGUAGAUGUACUGGUGUAGGGGUAUUAGGUAGAUGUAGGGGUGUAGGGGUAUUAGGUAGAUGUAGUUGAGUUUGUGGUAUUAGGUAGAUGUAGUGGUAUUAUGUAGUUGUGUAGGGGAAUUAGGUAGAUGUAGAGGUAUUAGGUAGAUGUAGGGGUGUAGGGGUAUUAGGUAGAUGUACUGGUGUAGGGGUAAUAGGUAGACGUAGUGGUGUAGGGGUAUUAGGUAGAGGUAGUGAUAUAGGGGUAUUAGGUAGAGGUAGUGAUGUAGGGGUAUUAGGUAGAGGUAGUGAUGUAGGGGUAUUAGGUAGAGGUAGUGAUGUAGGGGUAUUAGGUAGAGGUAGUGAUGUAGGGGUAUUAGGUAGAGGUAGUGAUGUAGGGGUAUUAGGUAGAUGUAGUGGUGUAGGGGUAUUAGGUAGAGGUAGUGAUGUAGGGGUAUUAGGUAGAGGUAGUGAUGUAGGGGUAUUAGGUAGAUGUAGUGAUGUAGGGGUAUUAGGUAGAGGUAGUGAUGUAGGGGUAUUAGGUAGAUGUAGUGAAUUAGGGGUAUUAGGUAGAGGUAGUGAUGUAGGGGUAUUAGGUAGAGGUAGUGAUGUAGGGGUAUUAGGUAGAGGUAGUGGUGUAGGGGUAUUAGGUAGAUGUAGUGGUGUAGAGGUAUUAGGUAGAUGUAGGGGUGUAGAGGUAUUAGGUAGAUGUAGUGGUGUUAGGUAGAUGUAGUGGUGUUAGGUAGAUGUAGUGGUGUUGGGUAUUAGGUAGAUGUACUGGUGUAGGGGUUUUAGGUAGAUGUAGGGGUAUUAGGUAGAUGUUAGGGGUGUAGAGGUAUUAGGUAGAUGUAGUGGUGUUAGGUAGAUGUAGUGGUGUUGGGUAUUAGGUAGAUGUAGUGGUGUAGGGGUAUUAGGUCGAUGUAGCGGGGUGGG